This is a long non-coding RNA of Ornithodoros turicata, 572 nucleotides long. RefSeq lists it as uncharacterized. NCBI's taxonomy places the organism in Eukaryota, Metazoa, Arthropoda, Arachnida, Ixodida, Argasidae. The record is from RefSeq and is a predicted model, not a curated record. The transcript has 2 exons.
UUCCCAAUGUUAGUGAUCUUUCUUGGAAACAUCUAGGGAUCUGAAAGGAAACUUGCGUCACUUUGCCUUUACGUAGACUACUUCGAGCGGUCGUGGCUUACCAACGUUCAUCUCUGGAAUUAUUUUGCGGAUGAGGACGAUCUCCGCACAAACAAUCACGCCGAAGGGUGGCAUAAUUCGCUGCACAUGAAAUUGAAGAGCCAACCCCACAUGACGUUUUCGAAGUUCCUCGUCGAAUUUGAGUCAACCAUACACAAUGUAAGCACAACCAGGUACGCAUUCGGCUGCUGCUGAACGGGGCUUCGCCAAACAGGAGACGACGCAAUUUCGUGGAGAACAACGCGGCGAUACAAGAGGUUCGCUCUUCCUUCUCAUGGGCGUACGAAAAAUACAGCUCAGGGGAAAUGAUACUGGGAAACGAAGUACCCUUCACGGACGUAACAGAGCAGUUUGCUCAUGUCAUCAAGGCAUACCUGCAGCGCAUGUCCCACUUGCUGGGCCAUGCUAACUAAUAAGUUAGUUGUGCAAAUGAAAAAACAAAACAAAAACAAAUAAACGGAGCAGGCUGAGCA